AGUGUAGAGGUGAAAUUCGUAAAUAUUAGGAGGAACACCAGUGGCGAAGGCGUCUAUCUGGUUCAAAUCUGACGCUGAGGCGCGAAGGCGUGGGGAGCAAACAGGAUUAGAUACCCUGGUAGUCCACGCUGUAAACGAUGAAUGUUAAAUAUGGGGAGUUUACUUUCUGUAUUACAGCUAACGCGUUAAACAUUCCGCCUGGGGACUACGGUCGCAAGAUUAAAACUCAAAGGAAUUGACGGGGACCCGCACAAGCGGUGGAGCAUGUGGUUUAAUUCGAUGCAACGCGAAAAACCUUACCACUCCUUGACAUGGAAAUUAUACCUAUUCGAAGGGAUAGGGUCGGUUCGGCCGGGUUUCACACAGGUGC
Molecule: ribosomal RNA, 370 nt
Filed under: bacterium symbiont of Megymenum gracilicorne
Lineage: Bacteria
Description: bacterial SSU rRNA
Rfam family: Bacterial small subunit ribosomal RNA
Source: RNAcentral